Streptomyces griseoflavus Tu4000 is the source of this 257-nucleotide non-coding RNA. The record is from Rfam. NCBI's taxonomy places the organism in Bacteria, Bacillati, Actinomycetota, Actinomycetes, Kitasatosporales, Streptomycetaceae.
UGUUCCGGUGCCGUCGGCCGUCUUUUCCAAGGACCACGGGAGAGAAAGAAACCCCACCAAGCCCCACCCCUCCCGCCCACGGCGCACGCUCACUCGCGUGGGUGAACAUCACCAAUUGAGCUGGAUAUGUGAUGGGUUGCCUGCCCUACGCUCAGCGCAGCACGACACGGCACAACAACCCCAGACAUGCAACGGCCCCCGCCGGGACUGGCAUCCCAAUGCGAGGGCCUGACCACCAAGGAAGCACUACCUUCCCG